This 492-nucleotide ribosomal RNA is filed under the name uncultured bacterium. RNAcentral describes it as "partial 16S ribosomal RNA". It matches the Rfam family "Bacterial small subunit ribosomal RNA", at positions 30 to 507 of the family's 1533-position model. The record is from RNAcentral.
AUUGAACGCUGGCGGCAUGCUUUACACAUGCAAGUCGAACGGUAACAGGCCUUCGGGUGCUGACUAGUGGCGAACGGGUGCGUAAUGCAUCGGAACGUGCCCAGAGGUGGGGGAUAACGCAGCGAAAGCUGUGCUAAUACCGCAUGUGAUCUGAUGCUGAAAGCGGGGGACCACACAGCAUCGUUUGGCCUUGCGCCUCUGGAUGGGCCGAUGUCGGAUUAGGUAGUUGGUGGGGUAAAGGCCUACCAAGCCGACGAUCCGUAGCUGGUCUGAGAGGAUGAUCAGCCACACUGGAACUGAGACACGGCCCAGACUCCUACGGGAGGCAGCAGUGGGGAAUAUUGGACAAUGGGCGCAAGCCUGAUCCAGCAAUGCCGCGUGCGGGAAGAAGGCCUUCGGGUUGUAAAGCGCUUUUGUUCGGAAAGAAAAGGAUCUGGCUAAUACCUGGGGGUGAUGACGGUACCGAAAGAAUAAGCACCGGCUAACUACGUG